GAUGAACGCUGGCGGCGUGCCUAAUACAUGCAAGUCGAGCGAACAGACGAGGAGCUUGCUCCUCUGACGUUAGCGGCGGACGGGUGAGUAACACGUGGAUAACCUACCUAUAAGACUGGGAUAACUUCGGGAAACCGGAGCUAAUACCGGAUAACAUGUUGAACCGCAUGGUUCAACAGUGAAAGACGGUCUUGCUGUCACUUAUAGAUGGAUCCGCGCCGCAUUAGCUAGUUGGUAAGGUAACGGCUUACCAAGGCAACGAUGCGUAGCCGACCUGAGAGGGUGAUCGGCCACACGGGAACUGAGACACGGUCCAGACUCCUACGGGAGGCAGCAGUAGGGAAUCUUCCGCAAUGGGCGAAAGCCUGACGGAGCAACGCCGCGUGAGUGAAGAAGGUCUUCGGAUCGUAAAACUCUGUUAUUAGGGAAGAACAAAUGUGUAAGUAACUAUGCACGUCUUGACGGUACCUAAUCAGAAAGCCACGGCUAACUACGU
Molecule: ribosomal RNA, 496 nt
Filed under: uncultured bacterium
Lineage: Bacteria
Description: partial 16S ribosomal RNA
Rfam family: Bacterial small subunit ribosomal RNA
Source: RNAcentral